Molecule: long non-coding RNA, 949 nt
Filed under: Nicotiana benthamiana
Lineage: Eukaryota; Viridiplantae; Streptophyta; Magnoliopsida; Solanales; Solanaceae
Description: long non-coding RNA (NBEN_LNC023790)
Source: RNAcentral
UGAUCAUGGUUACAGAAUGAGCAUAAUAACCGACUGAAAGUAAAGAACCAAAUACAGGAUCUCUAAUGUAUGAGAUGCAUCUCGUAUACAUGAUAUGUAUUGUGCUAAUAAGUAAAAUAAAUCCUAUAAAUAUGUUUUCUACCCAUUACGUAAAUUAAGCAUACAUAACCCCCACCCAGUUUCACUAUAACCCCAAUCAUUCGUUUACAAAUUAUAACAAACCAAGGAUAGCUGAAUUACAGUAAAAAAGAAUAAAAAUAAAAGUUAUUCUAUAGGGAGCUGUCAGCGAGGCCCAAUCUUCCAACCUCAAUCCUUUCGAGUUUCACAGCCUUUGCCAUGGUCUGGGUGCGGCAAAGCUCCCUAAUGCCCCCAUUGGGUUCCUGGCCAAUACCAGCACCCAAACACUUGCCAAACAUGUUGAUCAAGUGCAGUAUGGAAUUACCAGCCUUGUGCAGCAAAGUUCAGUGAGUACUCAGAGGUACCCAAAGCAAUGCUUACACGAAUGGGGUAGAACCUAAUCUCUAAGAGUAGUGAGAGUGCGUGAUAUAGUUAUAUAGAAAUUGAGUUGAGAGAAACAAUUUGAAAACGAUCCAUAUAGAAUCAGUUCUUGAAAGAAAACAGUAAAAAAGUGAACAGUUUUAUAAGAAGGUGAGUAGGACAGUCUCAGAACUAGAAUAUCACACAUAGUUCAGGAAAGCAAUCACAAACAGGGGAAAGGGAAAAUAGGAUAAGUAGUUCACAUGUAAGAGCAUAGUUGCACAUACCUAGACAUCAAAGAAGGCAUUUCGGGACUUAAACAGUCACAACACAUUUCAUCCCAAAAUGUUCAUGGAAGAGGUUCGGGAUUACUUGGUAGCCAGAAAGGGUCAUGAAUACAUGUUGAUAAUGUACUGGGUUUUGGGAGUAAGGAGGAACAAGUAAGAGAAGCAGUAGACAUGCUGAAUAUGGG